Brugia malayi is the source of this 66-nucleotide non-coding RNA. The record is from Rfam. Lineage: Eukaryota; Metazoa; Nematoda; Chromadorea; Rhabditida; Onchocercidae.
GCAGCGGUGUCCGAGUGGUUAAAGAGUUUGACUCGAAAUCAAAAGGUUCGGAUCCUACCCGCUGCG